Molecule: ribosomal RNA, 65 nt
Filed under: Porella cordaeana
Lineage: Eukaryota; Viridiplantae; Streptophyta; Jungermanniopsida; Porellales; Porellaceae
Description: partial 26S ribosomal RNA
Rfam family: Eukaryotic large subunit ribosomal RNA
Source: RNAcentral
UGGACCUCAGAUCAGGCAAGAUUACCCGCUGAGUUUAAGCAUAUCACUAAGCGGAGGAAAAGAAA